UCAAAGUGUGUCUCAGAUCUGAAAAACCUGCAAAUACAAAAAAACAUUCAAAUGGCUUCAAAACAUAGAAAAAAUUUCAAAAAUAUAAUUGUAUGUUAAAUAAUAAACAAAACAGUCACAUUAAGUUGAAUCUAUAGCGUUUUUAGAAUCUAAUAUAUAAAUCACACAAUAAUACAUAUCCAAAACUUAUAGAUCUACCUUUGAAAGAGUGAAAGAUGAGAACUAUGUAAUGAAAAAUCUGCAAAAAAAAGAUAAAUUAGUGAGAAAACAUAAGAAAGAAAUGAGAAAUGGAUUUAAAGUUUGGUGUUUUAAUGUUCAAAGAGAUUAUAUAGAGGUUGAAGAGUUUUAGAGUGAGAAACAUUACAUUUUUGUUGCAGCCAUUUGAGAAGAAGAAAGAGAAUGUGUAAAUUUUCUUUAUAUUUGGAGGCAAAAAUUCCAAUUAGGUUAAAUAUUUUUGAUACAGUCUUUUAAACCCUAAAAUCAAAUACACGAGAAGACUUCUCGAAGAGUUCGCUUUAGGCAAGAAACAUAAAUUCCACUAAAAUUUAGGCGGUAAUAUGUUAGAAGUCUUCUGGAAGUCUUCCUGAGAAGUGUUCUAGAAGUUUUCCAAACCAUAACCUAAUCAAAUAACUAACUAAAUAGCAAAACAUAACUCAUGAAACUUAAAAUCAACUUAUAAAACAUUUAAUAUACACAAAACUAAACAGGCAAAUUUAUUUUUUAAAAAGUUAAGAUUCUAAAAUCAAACACUAAAUACAAACAAUAUUAUAACAUAUGUUACUAAACCCUAAACCAAAGUCUUCUCGGAGUCUUCCAGACCCUAUAAUCAAAUAACUAAGCAAAAACACUCUCUUAAAGUUAAAAGAAACUUAGAAAGUGUUUAAAUCAAGUAAUUAGAUAGUCAAUAAACACAUAUAUGUCUAACUAAAUAAAUAAAUAAAAAUAUGAUAUUUCAAAAUCUAACCCUAAAAA
Molecule: long non-coding RNA, 972 nt
Filed under: Brassica napus (rape)
Lineage: Eukaryota; Viridiplantae; Streptophyta; Magnoliopsida; Brassicales; Brassicaceae
Description: long non-coding RNA (BNAP_LNC011813)
Source: RNAcentral